Molecule: long non-coding RNA, 2232 nt
Organism: Tribolium castaneum (red flour beetle)
Lineage: Eukaryota; Metazoa; Arthropoda; Insecta; Coleoptera; Tenebrionidae
Exons: 2
Source: RefSeq, a predicted model, not a curated record
ACAAUCGAACCUCUAUACUCCGAACGCCGUGUGUAUUUUAAUACGUGUUUUUAUACAGGGUGUCUCAGCUAAAACUUUCGAGCCUGAUAUCUCAGAUAUUUGUCAACGGAUUUUUAUGAAAUUUAAAAUGCAUAUAUUUUAGAAAAUAUAGAUUAAAAUCCAAUUAAUGCAACAACUAAAGUCUUAAAAACGUAAUUUUUACAUGCCUUUUUAAAAUGUUAAGCUUUUUAAGACAUAUUAAAAAAAUUAUCGUCAGUGAAAAAUGCUGUCAGAAAAAACUCCUUCGUGGAAGACGUCUGUUUCGCGAGAACAAUGAGAAACAAACUGUUAAACGUGGGUACAGAUGCAAAAGCGUAGAUCUCUAUGAGACAAAUGAGCACUACCAUUGAAUUUUGGUCACUCCUACUCGCAGAAACGUAACUGUCACGUAAGGGACAUUUCACAAUUAUCUCUCACCCAUACAAAGUUAAAAACAAAUAUUUUUGACUUACUUUUGGUACUGGAUGCUUUAAUUCUUUCAAAAAGGACUAAAAGACUGAACAACAACUGAAAAAUUCUAGACACUUGAAUAUUCAGGACUUUGGAAAUGUUUCGUACACUGCUGAUUGGAUUCUUUUCAAAAGCUUGAAUUACAGCCCCAACUAUUGCAUCGUUUCCAGUGACGUGUUUUGUCCUCACUAGAUUUAGUUCAUGUACGCUUCCUGCGUCUUCAAAUUAUUGACGAUUCUUUGAACUUUAAAUUUCAUAAAUAACAUUUCACAAAAAGUCACACGACACUUUCCAUAGGCGAAUAUUGAUUCCUUUUUCAACAAUACAAAAAUUUCAGCCACUGUUGUUGGUUUUUAAAGUAAUUUCACCAACUUAAAACAAUUUUACUUUUCUGACAGCGCGCAGACUUCGACAGUUUUUUUCAGUGGUACACAAAAUGCCGCACAGAAAUGCUUCAUCAAUUGUUUCAAAACGUGACUGUCCAAAUUACUAUCAAAAUUUGGAUUAAGUUUUUAACAACAAAAUUUAAUUUUUUUUCUUGGAUCAGCCGAGCGAUUUGGUUAAUUUUUUGUGUGGCCAUUUAUUUUUCGGAGUUUAAUAAUCCACCGGUAAUUUGGCUUAAUUUUAAAUAAAAGAAAUGUGUUUUAAAAUUUCAUUUUUUAACUUCAGGUUAUUUUUUUGAAAGACCACCUCCUAAAAUAUGUGCAUUUUAAAUUUCAUAACAAUCCGUUGACAAAUAACUGAGACAUUAAGCUCGAAAGUUUUAGCUGAGACACUCUGUAUAAAAAAUUCUUUAUUGUUGAAUUUAUACAUAUCAAUUAAUAUAUUAAUAGUCAAUAGUGGGUUAUUUGUGACGUGUCUAAGAUGCAACAGCAUUGGUUGUUUAUCUGUUAAACAGUAAUAUUUCGUAAUAAACUUUUAGUAAGACUGUUAAAACAAACAAUCUUGACAAUACCCAGAACAAUGUAAUCGUGGAUUAAUUUUGAAAUGUUUUCAUCAUGGCCUCCUUGAUGUAUGGAGACAACUUCGUUGUUCAGGCCUGGCGCAUCGUUAAGUUCGGCUGAUUCUCCACUGGCGCUGCAUUUAGCGGACUGACGUUUAUUUGACAAAUACCAUUUUUGAGGUUAAAGACUAAUAAAUUUGAAAGAUGUAAGUGUGCAUUGUGAAAUACGUUGAAAAUGUGAGGAUAAUUCUAAAGUUAUGCCCUGAAUGAACGUUUGGAUAGUGUAACUUUUGCAGGAAAUCAUUUUACGAUCAUUAGGAUUUUUUAUUUUCAGCUUCAGAAGAUAUACAAAUUAUUUUAAGGUGAAUUGAUUGUUCAUCGUUUAUAAGUAUUUUAAGCAUAACCUACGGCACUAGUACGCAGACACAGAUGCAGAGAAAACGAUGUUUCAAAGAACCUUCCAUUUAUUAUGCAUACUCUAUGGUUUUACCAAUGGUUAAGGUUGAAUGCGUUACAAAUCUGUGAUUUUUAAGACAUGGCUUAAGUUUUCUGAAAGUUUUAGUAAAAUGUACAAAGAAAGUCGUUUUUUUUUCAAAUGAAAUGGUUUAAAAAAGCUCGAUCCAACGUUCUUCUGCUAGAGUGUCUCUGAACCGUCCGUUCCAAAGUCCCUGUCUGGACCUCUGCUCACUCUCAAGCACCGCUCGUGGAUCACCAAACUCCCGAAAAAAAUCUACUACUUUAUAAAUUUUUUUGAGUUUUUGUAUUUAGAAAUUAUCAAUUACAUUGUGGGCUCUUUUUCA